This 1035-nucleotide long non-coding RNA is filed under the name Junco hyemalis (dark-eyed junco). RNAcentral's name for it is "lncRNA (ENSJHYG00000000492.1)". Lineage: Eukaryota; Metazoa; Chordata; Aves; Passeriformes; Passerellidae. The record is from RNAcentral.
UUCUAGAACCAUCCACAUUCCCCCCUUGUAGCUCUCCAGUAUCCCCCAAGCAUUCCCCCAUCACUGUCAGAUUAACCCCUUUUCUGACCCAGAGAUGGGGCAACUGAGGGGUGUUUUAAAAACUUUUAUUCUAUUUUCAGUCUCGUGUGAAGGGUGAGGCAACACAGAUGUUAUAAUUCACACCAUCACAAUCAGGAGCCAAUUAUUUCCUAAUUACAAUACACUAGAAGUGUUUUUUGGGAUGUCCUGAGUUUGGAAGGUUUUGCCACACCGUGCUGUAAUUGCCUUAAAGCCAAUUAUCUAAAAUUACCCCUUGUGGCUCCUACUGCAAUGAAUCUUUCAUAGUUCUAUUUCUCUAAAGUAUCAGGUCUCAUUUGCAAGGCCACCUUUUGAAAUUUUUUCCCUAGUUCUUUUUCUGUCUGUCCUAUUCCAUGGCAUUCUGUGUUUCGAAAUUUUGAAAAUUUUUUUUCUGUCUGUCGUAUUCCAUGGCAUUCUAAGUUUUGAAAUUUUGAUAUUUUUUUUCCCCUAGUUCUUUUUCUGUCUUAUUCCAUGGCAUGCUAAGUUUUGAGACUUUGAAUUUUUUUUCCUAGUUCUUUUGCUGCCUGUCCUAUUCCAUGGCUUUCUAAGUUUUGAUUUUUUUUUCCUAGUUCUUUGUCUAUCUGCCCUAUUCCAUGGCAUUCUAAGUUUCAAAAUUUUGACAUUUUUUUCCAUAGUUCUUUUUCUCUCUAUCCUAUUUCAACUCAGCAUUUCUCAUCUCCGUGUUUGCACACUGUGUGAGCUUUCCACCACAUCCCCACCCCGAUAUUCCUCCAGAUUGUCCCCAAAAUCCCUCCAGCACCCCUCUGGCACCAUCCCAGCUGGCAGCGGACUGGAGCUCACCUUGAAGAGGCGAAACGCGGCCAUCCAGCAGCUGCGGCUCUGCUCGUCCUCGCUGCAGAGCAACUUCAGAGCCUUCACUCCGCCCCGAACCUUGUGGGGCUGCGGGAAAGCGGAGCCGUCACGGAGGGGACAGGGACAGGGACAGGGACAGGGACA